Molecule: long non-coding RNA, 323 nt
Organism: Ictalurus punctatus (channel catfish)
Lineage: Eukaryota; Metazoa; Chordata; Actinopteri; Siluriformes; Ictaluridae
Source: Ensembl
GUGAGGGAGGGACUGAGAGGGAGAGCGCGUGCGUGAGCGAGCGUGAGUGAGGGAGAAGGCGAAGCGUGGAAACGUACAGCGCGCGCACCGUCACCACGGAGCAGCGCUUUGAUCUCCAAAGCUCAGGACGAGGCAGCAGGGUGUCACUUGGCAGGAUUAGCGUUACAUGUUGAAGCUUGAAGCGUAGAUGAAGAGGUGAGAGAGCUGGAUCGUCUAAAGCAGUAAAGCGCUGCUGCAUCGCUGUGUUUUUAGAUCAAAGCGAUCGUCUCUGCCGCCGCCGCCAUCAGCAGACCGACGGCUCGCGUUUCUGAUCGAGACCGACC